AUGGUCUCUUCUUCAUCGAGUCAUAAUGGUCCACGUCGUCAUGGUCGGCCCUGUCGCUCGGGGGGGUCUACAGUUGGUCGGCGAGGUGGUUCGGUCCGUGUUGUUGCUUCUGCUGUUCUGACCGAUCGGUCUAUCGUUUUGCGAGGUGUUUCAUCUUCUCAUAUUCGCUCGUCGUCUCGGUUUGGUCGUCCUGUGCGUCGUUCGCGUGAUUUCUGUGAGCGAUCUCCUGAUUUGCUGGAUCUUGCAGCGCAGUCUGGUGGUGAUGCUUUUGCUAGGCGGCGUAGGGAGGUGAUCCGGCUGGGCAAGCGGCCCAUCGAUUCUACUCUCGAUGUCCCUUUUUGCGCCGCGGAGUCGUGUGGACGUGAUUCUGUUCCUGCUACUGGUUGUUUUUCUGCUCUAGGGCCUGCCAUACUGGGUUUCACGGCAUUCAUUCACUUCAAGUAUCGAAAGGCAAAGAGUUUAGCCAUGAGUACCAACCACUCGGCCAAGAGCUUCCCAUCAGGAAAACAAUCAAAGAAAAAGGAAAAGAAGUUUGUUUCAAGUUCUUCUUCCAAUGCUACCCCAGUUAACAUGAACGACGACUUGAUGGUGUAUAUAUCAAGGCGAGUCAUUCUCCAAAUUGUCGGCUCAGCCAUAAGGCAGGAGGUGCAAGGAUACCUUCAUUUCACGUACCUUGAUGGUACCAUACAGGUGUCCUUGCACAUGGGAGCAGUAUAUUCCACAGGGAGCAUCAAUGAAAAUCCUUUGAUUUUCGAAGGAGAAUCCGUAGCAACACAAGACGAGGCGGAAGAAGGGGCUGCUCAAGCAGUGCUGGACUACAUUUGUGAGAACUAUGCUAUCACAAUCAACGACUAUAAUUAUUCUGUGUUGCAGGCAACAAAUCAAAAGCUUCUAUCAGCUCAAGAAAAGAUACGUGCAAAGCAUUGGCAGUUCAAUAUGGCCAAACGUGAGGUUGCUGCUCGCCAAGCCGAGACUGUAACCCAAACGGAGACACUAGCACAUAUAUGCAACGAUUUCUUAGAUGCGGUGCCCCUCUGUAUGCACCCACAUCGUCCAUUCACUGAAGACCGUAUCAUUAGCUAUACUGGUAGUUGUCCGCCUAUCACACGACUCAAGCACUUCGCAAAAGUGUUAUAUUAUUUCAUUAUUGGCACUAACCCCCGGGGAGAGUGUUCCAGAAUGACUUGA
This 1188-nucleotide ribosomal RNA is filed under the name Triticum aestivum (bread wheat). Its description in RNAcentral is "partial small subunit ribosomal RNA". Lineage: Eukaryota; Viridiplantae; Streptophyta; Magnoliopsida; Poales; Poaceae. The record is from RNAcentral.